RNAcentral lists this transfer RNA (67 nucleotides) under Eumandya parva. Its description in RNAcentral is "tRNA-Asp". The record is from RNAcentral. Lineage: Eukaryota; Metazoa; Mollusca; Cephalopoda; Sepiida; Sepiolidae.
GAAAAGUUAGUUAAUAAAUAACAUAAAAUUGUCAAUUUUAAAUUACUAUAUUUAGUAGUACUUUUUU